RNAcentral lists this ribosomal RNA (774 nucleotides) under uncultured Neocallimastigales. Its description in RNAcentral is "partial large subunit ribosomal RNA". It matches the Rfam family "Eukaryotic large subunit ribosomal RNA", at positions 22 to 635 of the family's 3401-position model. Lineage: Eukaryota; Fungi; Neocallimastigomycota; Neocallimastigomycetes; Neocallimastigales. The record is from RNAcentral.
GUACACGCUGUGACUAGCAUAUCAAUAAGCGGAGGAAAAGAAACUAACAAGGAUUCCCCUAGUAACGGCGAGUGAAGCGGGAAGAGCUCAAAUUUGAAAUCUUAAAGGGUUUCCCUUUACGAAUUGUAGUUUAAAGAAGUGUUUUCUGUUGAGGUUUUGGUAAAAGUUCUUUGGAAUAGGACAUCAUAGAGGGUGAGAAUCCCGUAUUUGACCUUUACUUUCAACUUUGUGAUACACUUUCAAAGAGUCGGAUUGUUUGGGAAUGCAGUCCAUAAUGGGUGGUAAAUUUCAUCUAAAGCUAAAUAUUGGCGAGAGACCGAUAGCGAACAAGUACCGUGAGGGAAAGAUGAAAAGAACUUUGAAAAGAGAGUUAAACAGUACGUGAAAUUGUCAAAAGGGAAGCGUUUGACACCAGUGUUGUUUUUCUGAAAAUCAAUUAAAGAACUGUUUAUGCUAAGUUGUUUAGACUUUAUCAGCUAACUGUUUAGUUUUGAGCUUUUCUUUAAUGCACUUUUCAGUUAACAAGUCAACAUCAAUUUCUUUUGCUGUAAAAAAGCUUGAGGAAGGUGGCUUGAGAUUCGUCUUAAGUGUUUAUAGCCUCUUGCCUAUGCAGUCGGAGAGAUUGAGGUCUGCAGCGUAGAUCCUUCGGGGCUAAAUGCAUUUGUGCUAAGUUAUAGCAUUUUAUAGACAACUUGUUGACUAUGAUUUGUCUUGUAGCUUACUCGCUUAUGUUAUUUUACCUACGCUUAGGAUGUUGAAGAUGUAGCACAUCAU